UACGGCGGGGUGCAAGCUGUUAAUGCGGAAUCACUGGUGCGUAAAGGGUGCGUAGGCGGAACGUUAGGUCUGUCGUGAAAUCCCCGGGCUCAACCUGGGAAUGGCGUUAUAAACCGGGGCACUACAGUAUGGGAGAGGGUGGUGGAAUUCCAGGUGUAGCGGUGAAAUGCGUAGAGAUCUGGAGGAACAUCAGUGGCGAAGGCGGCCACCUGGCCCAAUACUGACGCUGAGGCACGAAAGCGUGGGGAGCAAACAGGAUUAGAUACUCUGGUAGUCCACGCCCUAAACGAUGAAUACUAGAUGUUUGGUACCUAGCGUACUGAGUGUCGUAGCUAACGCGAUAAGUAUUCCGCCUGGGAAGUACGGCCGCAAGGUUAAAACUCAAAGGAAUUGACGGGGGACCGCACAAGCGGUGGAGCAUGUGGUUUAAUUCGAUGCAACGCGAAGAACCUUACCUGGGCUUGACAUGUCCGGAAUCCUGCAGAGAUGCGGGAGUGCCCUUCGGGGAAUCGGAACACAGGUGCUGCAUGGCUGUCGUCAGCUCGUGUCGUGAGAUGUUGGGUUAAGUCCCGCAACGAGCGCAACCCUUGUCCUUAGUCGCCAGCGGUUCGGCCGGGCACUCUAGGGAGACUGCCGGUGACAAACCGGAGGAAGGUGGGGAUGACGUCAAGUCCUCAUGGCCUUUAUGUCCAGGGCUACACACGUGCUACAAUGGCGCGUACAGAGGGAAGUCAAGCCGCGAGGUGGAGCAGGCCCCAGAAAGCCCGUCGUAGUUCGGAUUGCAGUCUGCAACUCGACUGCAUGAAGUCGGAAUCGGUAGUAAUCGCGGAUCCAGCAUGCCGCGGUGAAUACGUUAACCGGGCCU
This 865-nucleotide ribosomal RNA is filed under the name uncultured bacterium. Its description in RNAcentral is "bacterial SSU rRNA". It matches the Rfam family "Bacterial small subunit ribosomal RNA", at positions 524 to 1381 of the family's 1533-position model. The record is from RNAcentral.